RNAcentral lists this ribosomal RNA (508 nucleotides) under uncultured bacterium. Its description in RNAcentral is "bacterial SSU rRNA". It matches the Rfam family "Bacterial small subunit ribosomal RNA", at positions 8 to 507 of the family's 1533-position model. The record is from RNAcentral.
AGAGUUUGAUCCUGGCUCAGAUUGAACGCUGGCGGCACGCUUUACACAUGCAAGUCGAACGGUAACAGGCCGCAAGGUGCUGACGAGUGGCGAACGGGUGAGUAAUAUAUCGGGAACGUACCCGUGGAGUGGGGGAUAACGUAGCGAAAGUUACGCUAAUACCGCAUACGAUCUAAGGAUGAAAGUGGGGGAUCGCAAGACCUCAUGCUCCUGGAGCGGCCGAUAUCUGAUUAGCUAGUUGGUGGGGUAAAGGCCUACCAAGGCAUCGAUCAGUAGCUGGUCUGAGAGGACGACCAGCCACACUGGGACUGAGACACGGCCCAGACUCCUACGGGAGGCAGCAGGUGGGGUAAUUUUGGACAAGUGGGGGCAACCCUGAUCCAGCAAUGCCGCGUGAGUGAAGAAGGCCUUCGGGUUGUAAAGCUUCUUUUGUCAGGGAAGAAACGGUCUUGGUUAAUACCUGGGGCUAAUGACGGUACCUGAAGAAUAAGCACCGGCUAACUACGUG